RNAcentral lists this ribosomal RNA (252 nucleotides) under uncultured bacterium. RNAcentral describes it as "partial 16S ribosomal RNA". It matches the Rfam family "Bacterial small subunit ribosomal RNA", at positions 524 to 776 of the family's 1533-position model. The record is from RNAcentral.
UACGUAAGGUCCGAGCGUUGUCCGGAAUCAUUGGGCGUACAGGGUACGUAGGCGGAUAAGCAAGUUAGAAGUGAAAUCCUAUAGCUCAACUAUAGUAAGCUUUUAAAACUGUUUAACUUGAGAGAUGGAAGGGAAAGUGGAAUUCCUAGUGUAGCGGUGAAAUGCGCAGAUAUUAGGAGGAAUACCGGUGGCGAAGGCGACUUUCUGGCCAUAAACUGACGCUGAUGUGCGAAAGCGUGGGGAUCAAACAGG